GGACUACCGGGGUUUCUAAUCCUGUUUGCUCCCCAUGCUUUCGCGCCUCAGCGUCAGUAUCAGCCCAGUAAACCGUCUUCACCACCGGUGUUCUUCCACAUAUCUACGCAUUUCACCGCUACACGUGGAAUUCCGUUUACCCUAACUAAACUCUAGUUCUAUAGUUUCAAAUGCAGCUCCAGGGUUGAGCCCUGGAAUUUCACAUCUGACUUAUAAUACCGCCUACGCGCCCUUUACGCCCAGUAAUUCCGAUCAAUGCUUGCACCCUCCGUAUUACCGCGGCGGCUGGCAC
This 292-nucleotide ribosomal RNA is filed under the name uncultured bacterium. RNAcentral describes it as "partial 16S ribosomal RNA". The record is from RNAcentral.